Molecule: ribosomal RNA, 380 nt
Filed under: Longicoelotes karschi
Lineage: Eukaryota; Metazoa; Arthropoda; Arachnida; Araneae; Agelenidae
Description: partial 16S ribosomal RNA
Source: RNAcentral
CUCAAUGAAAUUCAAUAGCCGCAAUACAAUUGUGCUAAGGUAGCAUAAUCAUUUGUUUUUUAAUUAAAAACCAGAACGAAAGAUUCAACAUUUUUAUUUCUCUCUCAUAUACAUAAAUCCAAAUUAUUUCAAAUAUAAAAAAAUAUUUAUAUAUAAAAAAGACGAUAAGACCCUAUUGAACUUAACUAAAGUUUAACUGGGGUAGUUAAUUAAAUACAAUUUUAAUUUAAAAAUUAAAAAAACCUAAUAUCAUUAAAACAAUCAAGUUACCAUAGGGAUAACAGCGCAAUAAUUUUCUUAAGAUCUUAUUAAAAAAAUUGUUUACGACCUCGAUGUUGAAUUAAUAAUCUAUUAAAUGCAACAAUUUAAUAACGAAAGUC